CUCUUCUUAUCAUUGUAUACUCUGCAUGGGCAAAAUAGGGGUACACAAUGAAGGAGUUGAAGAUGGUGUGGAGAGAGCAGUUAGGGCUCUACAGUCUAUACAUAAAGAAGGAAAUGAAGCUGG
This is a non-coding RNA of Callorhinus ursinus (northern fur seal), 123 nucleotides long. Lineage: Eukaryota; Metazoa; Chordata; Mammalia; Carnivora; Otariidae. The record is from RefSeq and is a predicted model, not a curated record.